UAUGGCUCAGGACGAACGCUGGCGGCGUGCCUAAUACAUGCAAGUCGAACGGUCUUUCUAUGGAAGCUUGCUUCCACUGAGAAGAUAGUGGCGAACGGGUGAGUAACACGUGGGUAACCUGCCCAUAAGAGGGGGGAUAACAUCCGGAAACGGGUGCUAAUACCGCAUAGUUUUCUUGAUCGCAUGAUCGGGAAAGGAAAGACGGCCUUUGUGCUGUCGCUUAUGGAUGGACCCGCGGCGUAUUAGUUAGUUGGUGAGGUAACGGCUCACCAAGACGAUGAUACGUAGCCGACCUGAGAGGGUGAUCGGCCACAUUGGGACUGAGACACGGCCCAAACUCCUACGGGAGGCAGCAGUAGGGAAUCUUCCGCAAUGGACGAAAGUCUGACGGAGCAACGCCGCGUGAGUGAAGAAAGGUUUUCGGAUCGUAAAACUCUGUUGUCAGAGAAGAACAAGUUGGAGAGUAACUGCUCCAGCCUUGACGGUAUCUGACCAGAAAGCCACGGCUAACUACGUGCCAGCCGCUGC
This 528-nucleotide ribosomal RNA is filed under the name uncultured bacterium. RNAcentral's name for it is "bacterial SSU rRNA". It matches the Rfam family "Bacterial small subunit ribosomal RNA", at positions 18 to 518 of the family's 1533-position model. The record is from RNAcentral.